UGGCCACAGCUGGGAAGGCGAUGUACUA
RNAcentral lists this non-coding RNA (28 nucleotides) under Homo sapiens (human). Lineage: Eukaryota; Metazoa; Chordata; Mammalia; Primates; Hominidae. The record is from RNAcentral.